AUAUCCCAUAACACUCUUAUUUUGAGACAAAGGUGAGGGUGACUGAUUCUUGUUUUUUUUGGCCCUGCCCUGGCUCGCCCUGGGGCCCAGUGUGAUCCCCAUGGCCCUACACUCAUGCGGCCAGGUCAGGAUCCUGUUCUACAGGAAACGCAACUGCAGCUCCCAUCCCAGUCCACUGCACCCAAGGGCAGCACAGACUCAGCAAAGCGGAGGGGACCGAGAGGCGCGGGCGAAGGCUGAAGAGCGAAACUGCUUUCCACGUAGCCGCUGCCCAACCUGAGUGUGUCCCAGGAGUCCCAGGUUUGCUGGAGCACAGUUCCCAGUCGGGAAUUUAAGAAUGUAUGAGGGAGGACAAAAAUAUUUGUAGUUAUGCUGCCAAAUAAUAGUGAGAGCCAGCCAGUGCCUUUCAGCCACGUCUCCUCCCAAACCCCAGGCUCCGUACCACUGAUAACGCUGCUCGCUACAGUCUAGCUGACUUCCCAGGGAAAGAGGGAUGGGAAAAAUCAAUCAUAAAUAUUUAUCACUGCCUUAGAAAGCAGAAACAUCUGCUAAAACCUGAGCAGUUUCUUCAGCUUAGGGUGUGUGGGCUUUCAGUAGGGCCCCACCUCACACCUCUGCCCUCAUAGAUCAAGUUGCAGAGGGCAUCAUAAGCGAGCAUGCCAUUCUGCCCAGGGAGGACAUGGGCCUAGGGCCACUCUGAACAGGCAAACUGCUGCCCAAGCACUGCCUGUGAUCCUGAGACACCAAGGCCAAUGACAGUGUCCAAAGUCCACUCAGGUUGGGCCUCUGACGGGAAUGGAGAUGCUAAGCACCGAGAAGGGUCAGUCCUGCUUUGUGAGCUUCUACAAAGCAGCGUGUAAACAUCUGUGUAGCGGCUAGUACUUCUGGGGCUCCGUCAGUUUCCAGGAGCGCGUACCUGAACAAUGCCAGAAAACACAGUGAAUGAUUAAGACAGCAAACCCACCAACCCGAACAGGAAGGAAAGGAAGAAUGGAGCCACUUUUUAUGCCUUAACCUUCAGCAGUCAAGGCAGAAGGAACUGGUUACUCCCUUCCUAAGUAUUUUAAGUUGCAGGGUAGAGCUUAGAGCUCUCUGUCUUUCUGUUCUUGAAUCAUUAAGCACUGUGUGGCCCUUGACAUCGGCCUGCACACUUUUCAUAGCCUCUGCGCACUACAGGCCAGGACACUUGACAUUGGCAUACAUUUUGCUUUUGUAAGAAGUGACAGAGCUGCCUGAAAGGGUAAAACGGCUCAGUCAAACCCAUUAGCAAAAAGCUGGAGAAUAAAGGUGUAUUCUGAA
Molecule: long non-coding RNA, 1299 nt
Organism: Chinchilla lanigera (long-tailed chinchilla)
Lineage: Eukaryota; Metazoa; Chordata; Mammalia; Rodentia; Chinchillidae
Exons: 3
Source: RefSeq, a predicted model, not a curated record